RNAcentral lists this ribosomal RNA (497 nucleotides) under uncultured bacterium. Its description in RNAcentral is "partial 16S ribosomal RNA". It matches the Rfam family "Bacterial small subunit ribosomal RNA", at positions 28 to 507 of the family's 1533-position model. The record is from RNAcentral.
GAUGAACGCUGGCGGCGUGCCUAAUACAUGCCAGUCGAGCGAACGGACGAGAAGCUUGCUUCUCUGGUGUUAGCGGCGGACGGGUGAGUAACACGUGGAUAACCUACCUAUAAGACUGGGAUAACUUCGGGAAACCGGAGCUAAUACCGGAUAAUAUUUUGAACCGCAUGGUUCAAAAGUGAAAGACGGUCUUGCUGUCACUUAUAGAUGGAUCCGCGCUGCAUUAGCUAGUUGGUAAGGUAACGGCUUACCAAGGCAACGAUGCAUAGCCGACCUGAGAGGGUGAUCGGCCACACUGGAACUGAGACACGGUCCAGACUCCUACGGGAGGCAGCAGUAGGGAAUCUUCCGCAAUGGGCGAAAGCCUGACGGAGCAACGCCGCGUGAGUGAUGAAGGCCUUCGGAUCGUAAAACUCUGUUAUUAGGGAAGAACAUAUGUGUAAGUAACUGUGCACAUCUUGACGGUACCUAAUCAGAAAGCCACGGCUAACUACGUG